Molecule: unclassified non-coding RNA, 182 nt
Filed under: soil metagenome
Description: partial internal transcribed spacer 1
Source: RNAcentral
CAGAGUUGCAAAACUCCCAACCAUUGUGAAUCUACCUCACCGUUGCCUCGGCGGGUGGCCCUUCCCCCUCACCCGGGGUUGGACCGCGCCGGCACCCGGCUCCCGGGCGCCGGCAAUCCCGUCAGAGGACCCGCAACUCUUCUCAUCAUUGUAGCCUCUCUGAGUAACUUAUACAUAAGUCA